ACGGAAGUAGUAUGGUUCAUUAAAGGUUGGGAAUAUCCAUAUUAAGUGUUAUAAUCUAAGUUUGAAUCUUUGAAGAUUGAGCUAAUAGAAAUAAGAGUUAAAGCUCUAAAUAGUAUGAACUCAGGGUAUGGUGAUACUCAUGAAGAUUCUAAGUUAGUAAGUUUUCAAAUUAUAUGAUGACUAUAGGGUUUAUAGAAAGAUAGAGUUGUAUCUCAAAAGGAAGUAUUAGUAGUAGGUUUUACACUUUCAGGUGUAGUCUUUCG
This 263-nucleotide long non-coding RNA is filed under the name Capsicum annuum. RNAcentral describes it as "long non-coding RNA (CANN_LNC012668)". Lineage: Eukaryota; Viridiplantae; Streptophyta; Magnoliopsida; Solanales; Solanaceae. The record is from RNAcentral.